CCAAAACAGGAACUGCUGCUGCUCAUAAUCACAUAGUUUUACGUUGUCUUGACAGAUUCUCGCAGUUUCGUCUCUCCACGAGAAUCUGUCCACAAGAGAUUAGGAAACACUGCAAAAAAAAUGGUUCCUUUCCUUCAGUCAGUUGAAUGGAUCUUAAAGUAACAUUAUAAAUACUGUCACCACAGUUCCCAGAGUGACAUCAUAAAUCACUGGCACCACAGUCCCCAGAGUGACAUCCUAAAUCAGUGUCACCACAGUCCCCAGAGUGACAUCCUAAAUCAGUGUCACCACAGUCCCCAGAGUGACAUCCUAAAUCAGUGUCACCACAGUCCCCAGAGUGACAUCCUAAAUCAGUGUCACCACAGUCCCCACAGUCCCCAGAGUGACAUCAUAAAUCAGUGUUACUACAGUCCCCAGAGUGACAUCAAAAAUCAGUGUCACUACAGUCCCCACAGUCCCCAGAGUGACAUCAUAAAUCAGUGUCACCACAGUCCCCAGAGUGACAUCAUAAAUCAGUGUCACUACAGUUCCCAGAGUGACAUCAUAAAUCAGUGUCACCACAGUCCCCACAGUCCCCAGAGUGACAUCAUAAAUCAGUGUCACCACAGUCCCCAGAGUGACAUCAUAAAUCAGUGUCACUACAGUUCCCAGAGUGACAUCAUAAAUCAGUGUCACUACAGUUCCCAGAGUGACAUCAUAAAUCAGUGUCACUACAGUACCCAGAGUGACAUCAUAAAUCAGUGUCACUACAGUUCCCAGAGUGACAUCAUAAAUCAGUGUCACCACAGUUCCCAAAGUUUAGAAAGAAAUACACUGCAAUUCAACAGCUCCAUUAAAACAAAAGACAUAGUGGAGAUAAGUAUUAGCAAUGUGAUGGCAAGGAUACAGUCCUCAUCCAGGGAGUAGGCCUCUGCUAUCUGUGAAGAACGAGACAUAGAGAGAGCAAGAGAGAGAGAGAAAGAGUUAACAUUUGGCAAUGUUAGCAUAUGUUUCACAUGCCAAUAAAGUCCUUAAAUUGAAAUUUAAUUGAGAGAGAGGGGAAAAAAACACUACAAACCGACCUGCUCACUCAGAAUCAGACUUGUAUGUCAGGGUUUUACUUAAAAAUAUAAUGUGUUCUCAAUAUGUUACAUAAAGAAAUACAUAAACUAGAUAAAAUAAUUUACUUUCUAAAUUAAACUAUUUUAUUACAAAGUUUUUUUGCUGAAGAAAAAUGAUAUGCUUGAUUUAGCUGCAGACUCUAGAAUAGAUAUUCUCGUGCUUGGUAAUGAAGUCUUGGAAGGUUUAGGGAAAAAAGACUCAAGAUGGGACUCAGAUGUCACGUGGUAAAUAACAAGCCGUUGUGUGUCAGAUUCACUUAUAACAUGACGCGCAGCAGAACUCAAAACAACUCUGUAGAGCCACACACAUACUCCAGAUGCCAUGACAUUUCCCAUAGAGGUCAACGUCUGUUUACAAGGAGUUUACUUCUCUUGGUCAGUUAUUUUGCCAAUGCUCCACUGAAUUGUACCAGUCUGAUCACAGAGCAACUCUUUCUUCUGUAUCAGUGUAUAAGAGGCCCGUCCCAAUUGGCACCCUGUUCCCUGUAUAGAACGCUACUUUUGACCAGGGCCCAUAUGGGAUGACCAUAUGUAGGGAAUAGAGUGCCAUUUGAGACCCAGCCCUUAGUGUAUCAGUGUUGCCGGUCCUUUCUAUGGGACGUCUAAAUCAUAGAUGGCUCUUUGUUCCAUGAUGACCAGAAUUGGCAAAGAAAGAAAAACAACUACAAGGCUAUUACAGUACUAUGGGGGACAACACAGUGACAGAAUAAGAUUAGAACAGUGUACAGAGAAAGGGCAUCAAAGAGUAUCUGAAAUUAAUCCCAAGGAGUACCUUUAAAAAUGUGCUUGUCUUGUCCUACUGGCAGUGAAUUUGCUGAUUACUUUAAUGAGGGAAACGAUUACAUGUUGUUGUCUCACCAUGCUAUCUUUAGAUGAAUGCACUAACUGUAAAUCACUCUGGAUAAGAGCAUCUGCUAAAUGACUAAAAUGUCAAAUGUAAUGAUUACAUUUCUUAAAGCUUGAUUUAUUCUCCCUACAAACAAAAACAAAACAGAACGGAAAGGCAAGAUGUUUCAGUGGCAAAAAAAUAGGUGACAGAAGAGGAUGGUACAAAACACAACCAGCCCUUAGGACCAAUCCACAGAGGACCAGAACACAGAGGACUGUGUGAGGGUGAACACACACACACACACACACACACACACACACACACACACACACACACACACACACACACACACACACACACACACACACACACACACA
RNAcentral lists this long non-coding RNA (2306 nucleotides) under Salmo salar (Atlantic salmon). RNAcentral's name for it is "lncRNA (ENSSSAG00000098826.1)". Lineage: Eukaryota; Metazoa; Chordata; Actinopteri; Salmoniformes; Salmonidae. The record is from RNAcentral.